ACCUCAGCCCCUUGAGCCACUAGGAAUUCAGAGAUCACUGGAGCCAAAAGCAGAUAAAGCAGAAAAUGAUCCCUUUAUUGGAAGUUUGAAGGGGCUCCGGGUUUAGAAAGCCUAAUGCAAGGAAGCAUGGGAAGGAUUUGGUGUCUGGAUUUGAGACUUGCCUUCUACUAGCUUUUCAAUUUGGAAAGAAAUACUGCUUUGGGAUACAUC
RNAcentral lists this long non-coding RNA (210 nucleotides) under Homo sapiens (human). Its description in RNAcentral is "HSALNT0401254". Lineage: Eukaryota; Metazoa; Chordata; Mammalia; Primates; Hominidae. The record is from RNAcentral.